Molecule: non-coding RNA, 154 nt
Organism: Salmo salar (Atlantic salmon)
Lineage: Eukaryota; Metazoa; Chordata; Actinopteri; Salmoniformes; Salmonidae
Source: RefSeq, a predicted model, not a curated record
CAGAAUCUUCUCCAAUCUGGAUGUGAUCACAUUGUGCAGGUGUUCCCAGGUGUCCAAGGCGUGGAAUGUCCUGGCCUUGGAUGGUAGUAACUGGCAGAAGAUUGAUCUGUUCAACUUCCAGACAGACAUAGAGGGUAGAGUAGUGGAGAACAUC